UAUAUAAAGGACACAAACAAAUACGUAUAAAAUAGAUUUAGUUGUUAUAUUUUGCUCUCAAUCAUAAAAUUACGUCUGCUACCCGCAUUAACAAUUAAAGUUACCCUUCCGGAGUACCUGAGAUUACCCCUAGUUUUUUGGUGGGGUUCGUGUUGUUUAUUCUUUAGUUUUCUAUGUUGUGUCAUGUGUGCUGUUGUUUGUUUGUCUUUUUCAUUUUUAGCCAUGGCGUUGUCAGUUUGUUUUAGAUUUAUGAGUUUGACUGUCCCUUUGGUAUCUUUCGUCCCUCUUUUAAAGAGAGAGAGAGAGAGUUAAUAUCAUGCCGGAUACGGAAUAAACCUUUCCGAUUCCGGAAUGAUACAGAUACCAGACUGUGAACUAGCAAC
Molecule: long non-coding RNA, 383 nt
Filed under: Mytilus galloprovincialis (Mediterranean mussel)
Lineage: Eukaryota; Metazoa; Mollusca; Bivalvia; Mytilida; Mytilidae
Source: RNAcentral